AACGCACCUUGCGCUCCUUGGUAUUCCGAGGAGCAUGCCUGUUUGAGUGUUGUGCUGUGCCUGCCGGUUCCCUUUGCGGGUGAACAUGGCGACUUGGACGCUUUGCCGGCUUCGGUCGGCUCGUCCUGAAUGCAUCAGCUGGACCUCAUUCGCUCGGUUCGACUCGGCGUGAUAAACAUCUCGUCGUCGAGGACAACCCCGUCAAACGGGUGGCCGGCGCGGAUGAGGCUUCGGCUCUCCAACCGUCUUCGGACAACUUACUUUUGGCUUCAGCCUCAAAUCAGGUAGGACUACCCGCUGAACUUAA
Molecule: unclassified non-coding RNA, 307 nt
Filed under: uncultured fungus
Lineage: Eukaryota; Fungi
Also listed under: 1 other name
Description: partial contains 5.8S ribosomal RNA, internal transcribed spacer 2, and large subunit ribosomal RNA
Rfam family: 5.8S ribosomal RNA (bases 1-52)
Source: RNAcentral